This 203-nucleotide long non-coding RNA is filed under the name Vitis vinifera (wine grape). Its description in RNAcentral is "long non-coding RNA (VVIN_LNC001520)". The record is from RNAcentral. Lineage: Eukaryota; Viridiplantae; Streptophyta; Magnoliopsida; Vitales; Vitaceae.
AUUACUACUCAAAGGUGCUUAAAACCCUUAUAAUUAGGUCUACAAAAUAACACUUUUCGGUAGUAAUCACACCCCCCAACUGACUCAUUGCUAGUCCCUUAGCAAUGGAGGAGAUAAAAACUAAGCAAACAUAAUAAUAUACAUAAAAGAGGUCAUGCAAAUCACUCCAAAAAAUAAUUGAGUGGCAUGACUGAUAUCAAAAC